RNAcentral lists this non-coding RNA (189 nucleotides) under Clostridiales bacterium. Its description in RNAcentral is "6S RNA". It matches the Rfam family "6S / SsrS RNA". From Rfam's summary of the family: E. coli 6S RNA was the first non coding RNA to be sequenced, but its function was unknown until recently. The record is from RNAcentral. Lineage: Bacteria; Bacillati; Bacillota; Clostridia; Eubacteriales.
GAGAUCCUGAGAUGUUCGAUAACCUAUAAUUUUGAACCUACAGAUGGAAAACGGGAGUCCUAUAUUCUAUAACCUACGUCAGGCCGCAAUCUAAUUCCCUUUGGGCGGUGGAAGGCGAAAGUUAUUAUGCGGACACCCACCUAGCGCGAGCUAGGUGUCAAAAUAUAGGACCGGCACCUUGGGACUUUU